AUGGAUAAGAAAAAACGUGGUAUGUGUAUACACACAGGAAUAUUAUUCACCUUAAAAAAGAAUGAGAUACUGCCAUUCAUGACAGCAAGCAUGGGCCUUGAUGGCAAUGUGCUAAGUGAUAUAAAUCAAACAGAGAAAGACAAAUUCCAUUUGAUCUCACUUAUACAUGGAAUCUAAAAACAACACACACACACAUACACCACACUCACAAGCAUAUAGAUACAGAGAACAAAUUAGUGAUUGCCAGAGGCAGAGAUGGGGCGGGCUGGCAAAAUGAAUAGAGGCAGUCAAAGGGUACAGACUUCCAAUUAUAAAACAAGUCAGUCCUGAGAGCGAACGGGCAGCAGGGUGGCUGUAGUUAGUAAUACCAUACUGCAUGUUUGAAAGUUGCCAAGAGAGUAGUUCUUAAAAGUUCUCAUCAUAAGAAAAAGAUUUUAAUAAUGUACAUUGUUGGAUGUUAACUAGAUUUAUUGUCACAAUCAUUUUACAAUAUAUACAAGUAUUGAAUCAUUAUACUGUACACCUAAAACAUAUUAGUGAUACCUCAAU
Phyllostomus discolor (pale spear-nosed bat) is the source of this 549-nucleotide long non-coding RNA. RefSeq lists it as uncharacterized. The record is from RefSeq and is a predicted model, not a curated record. NCBI's taxonomy places the organism in Eukaryota, Metazoa, Chordata, Mammalia, Chiroptera, Phyllostomidae. The transcript has 2 exons.